RNAcentral lists this ribosomal RNA (482 nucleotides) under uncultured bacterium. Its description in RNAcentral is "partial 16S ribosomal RNA". It matches the Rfam family "Bacterial small subunit ribosomal RNA", at positions 30 to 507 of the family's 1533-position model. The record is from RNAcentral.
AUUGAACGCUGGCGGCAUGCCUUACACAUGCCAGUCGAACGGUAACAGGUCUUCGGACGCUGACGAGUGGCGAACGGGUGCGUAAUGCAUCGGAACGUGCCCAGUCGUGGGGGAUAACUGCUCGAAAGAGCAGCUAAUACCGCAUACGACCUGAGGGUGAAAGCGGGGGACCGUAAGGCCUCGCGCGAUUGGAGCGGCCGAUGUCAGAUUAGCUAGUUGGUGGGGUAAAGGCCUACCAAGGCAACGAUCUGUAGUUGGUCUGAGAGGACGACCAGCCACACUGGGACUGAGACACGGCCCAGACUCCUACGGGAGGCAGCAGUGGGGAAUUUUGGACAAUGGGCGCAAGCCUGAUCCAGCAAUGCCGCGUGCAGGAAGAAGGCCUUCGGGUUGUAAACUGCUUUUGUCAGGGAAGAAAUCUUCUGGGCUAAUACCCCGGGAGGAUGACGGUACCUGAAGAAUAAGCACCGGCUAACUACGUG